AGUUUUGAAAGUGGCUGAGUUUGGAAAGACCUAAUCAACUUUCUAACAAACAGCUCUGCUAGCUUGUAGACAUCUAGGUGAACAUAUAAGGAUAUCUAGCAUGUAAUAAAUUCUAUGAAACUUUUAAAAGAAUAAGUAUAUUAUUAUGAGGUUGUUUUUAGAAUAAAGGCAUAUAUUAAUAUAUUUAAAUAGUUUGUACAUUUUGGAAAGUGUUAUGCAAAAGUGAUUCUGUUCACAGCUGCCAUUAUCCAAGGACAUAUGAUUCUCUGGAGGCUUACAUCACUGGAAAAAGUCUUUGGGCCCCUGAAGAUUACAGUACAUGUAAUGCUGCAAAAGGAGGAGGAUGCUGGGCCAGGCACAUACAACUCAAUUUACUUCUAUUGGCUGGAAAUAUUUAAAGCAUGACAGUGGCGUAGGUAAAUUACCAAAUAGUGGAUCUUAUGUUGGAUUGAUCAGCCCUGAUGAACUGACCUGACCAUUGUAAUUGAAACCAUAACUCAUGACCACUCUAUCUGUAUAGGUCCUGGUAUACCCUGGGAUGAUGUUCACCCACAACUUUUAACUUGAAAUCUUAAAGGAAGUUUUGCUAAACUAACAAGCAUGAAUGUCUGGUACAGUAAGAUAGGGUUAAUGGUCAACCUGACAUUAUGGUUCAUUCAUUGGGACAGCUAAUGUUUGUGUCUGACCAAGCAGUUCUCAAGUUAGGGCUUGAUGAAGUCUACAAACUGACCAUUAUAUCUACUGGACAAAAAGGAUCAUAUUCUGACCCCCUCCCUCCCAACCAUUUCGUCUGCCUUAUCUUGAUGACUUUGAAGGGUACAAAUGCACUUGGAGCUUUUGAUGGUGUUCUGUUCAAUGCAACAAUUCCCACAUCUCCAGCAGCUGGCUUUGCAGCUAUUGGCGCAGACAGUUAUGGCUUGGAUGAUUUUGAUAAUUAUCUGCUUCCGCUCUUCAAAACUGCCAUGUUGCAGUUAAUUCCUUGCCACUCUGGUACUGUGUGUGGUACAGAACCACCUUCACAUUUAUUUUUCUAAUUAGACAUUAAGCUUUCCAUGUGCUGAAAUUUAGCAUUGUAGAACCAUAACUAUAUUAACCUUUUAGAUUGUUAUCUUUCGUAAUGUUAAGACUAGAAAACAAGAUCUCAAAAUUAUAUUUAGGACGAUGAUUACAAUUACUUAGUCAAUUACUUAGAUAAAAUAAUUAUAAAACAAAAGUUAUAUAAAGACAUAAUUAUACAAUGUUUAUGUUUUGUAUGUUCAUAAAAAUGUGUAUAGCAGUGUUAUGGAGUGUGUGUGUGGGUGUUUCCAAGGUAACGUUGAGAAAUUAGCGAUUGGUUGGUGGAUAUGCAGUGAGGAUGGUGAAAUUACAAAAAUGGUCUAGUGUAAUGCAAAUUACCCAGGGAUCUGAAACUGUACAGACAGGUUUUUUGUAGUGAGUUAGAUUUUGUUUAAAAUACCAUUUUAUGUUAUUGCUACUAGAUUUAUUUCAUUUCAUCUAGGUUAGUAUUAGGGUUAGUGUUAUGUUGUAAUAAAAGUUAUAUUUAGUUUUGUUUCAAAAAAGAAGUUUUUUCAAGUUUCACAAUUAAAUAUAUAUAUAUAUCCAAGCAGUAGUUCUCACCAAACUUUCAUACACUGGCAGAACUACCUUAAAAAAAAUGUUCUGCUGGAGGCUGGUGUGGGUAGUAUAGAAGAAAUACUUAUUCAACAGCUGUGAUGGGUUGGGGGGCGACUGCAUGCCAAAUGGUAUCUUCAAGGAUGGCGUAACGGGGUGCUCCUGUAAGCACUAUAAAGAUUAACUCAGGCACCUUUUUGCCAUAGAGGAAAGUAGGUUGUAAUAGGGUUUAUGAAAACACUGCACUCAUCCUUUAUCUUCAGCAUCAUUAUUAUUAUUAAACCAUUACUCAAAUUUUGCUUUGUUAUUUUGCCAUGUAGAGAUUUACUGCUGGGGUGAACAAUGCUUAAAAAAAUACAAGUAUGCUGUGUUUUUACUUUGGCCCAGCGGUGGCUCACACAUUUAUGUCUUUUGUAUUUUUCUAUUAUACCAGUUCUGUUACUGUGCAAAUGCAAAAAAAAAAAAAAAUACAAGUUGUUGCACUAUUGAUAUUUUUUAUACUAAUUUUUUAUUUAUAUUAUUAUAUAUUUAUUAUUAUCUAAGCAUCUGUUUGUAUUUGAGCUGGGUAAUGAAUAUAGAUUCUUAAAUUUAAUUGUUGUUUGUUGCUUUCCUCACUUUUAAACUGUGACUAUGUAAAUUUUGUCUAGAUGGAGAAUGGUAAUGUAUUAGUGUCAAUGAUUACAUUGAGAAUGGUAAUGUCUUAGUGCCAAUGAUAACAGUGAGACAAUCAUUAGAUUGAGGAUGGUAAUGUCUUAGUGUCAAUGGUGUAACACUAUGAUUAGAGUGAGAUGGACGAGAUGAUUUCAGUUCACGUAAAAAUGGGUCUUACACAUUGUCAAGCAAAGAGGUACCAUUUUUGAUCACACGACCACGUUUUUUUUAGUAAGUUAGCGCCAUGAUGUAUCAAGAGACGGAGGUGUCUCUGUUUUAUGAAAUUGGAUUAAAUAAUAUGAGUACCUAAUUGGAGCUUUUUCUAUGGAUGUAGUUUGUAUUUGAUAUGAAAUAAUUCGUGAUGCUAUUUUAUGGCUGAGAUUGCCUACUUUCUGAACUAUUAUUUGAUGUAAUAAAUAUUUGUCUGACA
Biomphalaria glabrata is the source of this 2692-nucleotide long non-coding RNA. RefSeq lists it as uncharacterized. The transcript has 6 exons. NCBI's taxonomy places the organism in Eukaryota, Metazoa, Mollusca, Gastropoda, Planorbidae. The record is from RefSeq and is a predicted model, not a curated record.